GAACGCACCUUGCGCUCCUUGGUAUUCCGAGGAGCAUGCCUGUUUGAGUGUCAUUUAAUUCUCAACCUUAUUAGCUUUUGCUGAUAAUGGCUUGGAUGUGGGGGUUUUCUUUUGCUGGCUUUCGUCAGCUCCCCUUAAAUGCAUUAGCUGGUGCCCCGCGUGGACUGUCCGUUCGGUGUGAUAAUUAUCUACGCUGUGGAUGUCUGCAAAUAGGUUUUGCACUGCUUCUAACCGUCUGUUCAUUUGGACAAUACAUGACAAUUUGACCUCAAAUCAGGUAGGACUACCCGCUGAACUUA
This 299-nucleotide unclassified non-coding RNA is filed under the name uncultured Agaricales. RNAcentral describes it as "sequence contains 5.8S rRNA gene". The stretch from base 1 to 53 matches the Rfam family "5.8S ribosomal RNA", at positions 102 to 154 of the family's 154-position model. Lineage: Eukaryota; Fungi; Basidiomycota; Agaricomycetes; Agaricales. The record is from RNAcentral.